GGAGACGUGGCUUAGUGGUAGAGCAUUUGCCUAUCACUCAUAAAGCUUGGGGUUCUAACCUCAAUGCUGCCA
Molecule: transfer RNA, 72 nt
Filed under: Cavia porcellus (domestic guinea pig)
Lineage: Eukaryota; Metazoa; Chordata; Mammalia; Rodentia; Caviidae
Rfam family: tRNA
About the family: Transfer RNA (tRNA) molecules are approximately 80 nucleotides in length. Their secondary structure includes four short double-helical elements and three loops (D, anti-codon, and T loops).
Source: Rfam by way of RNAcentral